Schistocerca nitens (vagrant locust) is the source of this 7250-nucleotide RNA transcript. It is a transcript of the gene named DNA fragmentation factor subunit alpha-like, with no coding region annotated. NCBI's taxonomy places the organism in Eukaryota, Metazoa, Arthropoda, Insecta, Orthoptera, Acrididae. The transcript is spliced from 7 exons. The record is from RefSeq and is a predicted model, not a curated record.
CCAUCUUUUGUCGAUCUAACAUCGGUGUAUAUACUACCAAAGAUUACCAUUGCUUAAUCUGACUGUGACAUUUAAAUAGGCGUGUCUGUUGAUACCUAGUUAGACGAGUUGCCUGUGUAGCCGGAUUACUCUUCUGUGCUAAUGUAUUUCUGAAAGUAUUCCAUAAGCUGGCAUACCACCAAUGGAAAAGAGCACCGAAGAAGCGCAGUCAGUUAAAGGGAUACCCCUUAAAGUUGUUGACUUAGCUCGUGAAUGUAAAAAAGGUGUCGUAGCCUCGACUCUGCAGGAAUUAAUAAGUCGAGCUCGUGGAAAACUUGGUGUCCCUGACAAUGUUCCAGUCAAAAUUGUGUUGGAACAAGAUGGAACAGAAGUUGAUGAUGAUGAGUACUUCAGUACAGUGGAAAAGAAUACUGUUGUAAUGCUACUGAAGAAUGAUGAAAAAUGGUUACCACCUGGAAAAUUCCACAGAGUAAGACGAAUCUCAGAUGAAACAGAUGGACCAAGGUUUGGCCCUAAGGACAAGGAACUUAGUAGUUUGGUCGAUAGACUGCAAGGAGAUCUGACUCACAUUUCGAUGUUAGGUGGAAGAGAAUUGGAGCUGUUGAGUAACAUGGAUCCUGAAAGUCUGAUAGACAUCUUUCCUGAAAGUGAAAUAUUUUUGGUGCAACUGAAAGAAGCAAGUGGAAGAUUCCUAUCAGAGAAACGGCAAGCUCAAGAGGCCCUAGAAUUGCUCAAAUUGUAUCGUGGAGGGCAGCAGGAGGAAGUGGUACAAGUCAAGAAAGAAAAAGUGUAAGGCCUGGAGGAAACUCAUUUUCAAGAUGGGAUCAAGGCACUGGAAUAUCGUUGGACCAAGUGCAUUUAUCAGCAAGGAGACUACAUUGAAAAAUAAAAAAGUUUCAGUGAUAUUGUUCUAUCCUGCAUGGAAUAUUUAUCAACCACUCCCACAGCAGUAGCUAUAAAGUUAAUGUCUGCUUUAUUGUUCUCUAACAUAUCAGUGUCUUGAAUUAAAAUUAAGAUAUUUCUUGUUUUCCAAAUUAAGUUAUAGAUGUAAUGGUAUGUGCAUGUCUAACAUAAGACUAUUAAUUAAAUUAAUAAUUGUAAUUUAUCUGCAAAUUUAGGAUUGCUGUGCAAAAUGUCCAGAGUAGUAUUGAGAUUUGUUGUAUAACUGUGCAACAAUAGGAAAAAAAAUUACAAACACAACCUGACCGCACACUGCCAGAAACCUGUAACAGAUACAAAGUUAAUGGAUUUGCACAAUAUUUGAUAUUGACAGGAUUUCCCCACUAGCUGGAUAGGCUCUGUGUCUUUGUUCAUUGUUAAUAUCAUCAGUAGUAGUGAAUGCUCAGGUAAAAUGCAUUGUAUGCAAUUAUAUUGUUAGGAUUUUACAAUCUGAAUCUGAAUUUUUAAUCUUUAAUACAAGCAUUAAGGAAAGUUCUUUGAUGGCUGGGAGUUUUAAUAUGGUCAGAUAACUGCAGAAUGAAAAUUAGCAUAAAAUUUGUGACAUGAUAUUGCUCUGGUGGAAAGUAUUUUUAUUGGUAAGGAGUUGCUGUUAAUGAUUUUUUGAGUAGGCAACAGAUAAUGAUGAUAUGUAUAUCUUUGGGUCUGUAUUUGAUGUAAUAAAAUAGUGAAAAGGAAGAAAACCAAAUGAUUGCCAAAGUCUGCAAUAUUAAUUUCUGUUGACAGCAUAGAAAAUUUUCCUGAAUGGCCAGGUGUUACAUGUGCUGCGACAGAUAUUGUACAGAUCAUUCAGUAAAUGACUAGAGAUUUUUAUCACAAAAAUUUAUUAUGAGGAUACAAAAGGCUUAUGGUAACAAAUUUACAAUCAUAGUUUUAACUGAAAUGAAGAAAGACUGAAAAAGGCUCAUUUUUAAAAGUAAUUCGUUCAUAACUAAGGCAACUAGAGAAAAUACAUUGACUUUAAAAGCUGUGAACUGAACUAUUAGCUUCUACCUAUUCAGACAGCUCAAUUAAAUUUAAACUUAACUCAUCAUCUAUAAAGUAAUUUAGGUUUCUAUUUUACUUUAAUCACUCAUUGUAUAAAAUUAUUAACUACUUGAAGCUCAUUUCUCAUAUACCACAGUGUGUAAAAUACUAUUGUUGAUUUGAACACUUAUGCUCACAAAACUGGAGUUAUAAACAAAUUCAAAUACUGCAAGACUGACUGACAUUGAGGAUAGUAAACAGUUCAUUGCUCAAAUCUCAAUAAACUUACGGAUCUACUUUUAUACAAAUGUGAACGUAAUUUUGGCCUUUGAAAAGUAUUUCAUAACAUCAUUGUUCAUAAGACCUGUAGUAGUUGCAUCACUAUGAAUGAAUGGAGUGAUAUGCAGUUUUAUGAUAAGGAUAGUUACAGGAAUUGUAGUUAUGGAGAAAAUGAUGUAGAGAUGUAUAUUUUAGAAUACUGUUAAGCACAAUGUUGUGAAAUGAUUCAUCUUGGCUGGAUCCAAUUUACUUGUUCUGAUUGAAUCAUUGAAACAGUAGUUAGAAGGGGACAAUACAUUUGAAAAUACUUUAUGGUGCCUGGAGUAGGGAAAAGAAAUUAUGAACGGUUUGGAAGAGUAGCUAUUUUGUGAGAUCCAUACCUUUUUCUGCAUUUAAUGGAAUGUUUGUACUAAAGCUGCUAGGAUAAGAGGUAUCUUUCUCCUUCUCCAUGGCUCCUUUGUGCAAUUUAUUAAUUGUGCAUCUUUUUGAAAAUGAAAUAUGCCGUGCAUAAUAAGUAAGGCAUAUAUAAGUUACAUCUCAUCACCACUGCCAAACUUAAAUUCACUUUUCAACUUCAGAUUAUUUAUUUUGUAAACUUAAAUGCACUUUAUAAGAUGGGGUAACAUUGCUCUUAACUGGAUGCCUCUUUGUGUGGAAGUACUAAAAGUGGCAUUCAAAAAUAGUAUCUAAACUUAUUUUCCUUUAUCCUUGGAAUAUUUAGUUUUGUGGCCAAAAGCAUGAAGUAUACAAUUCCAGGGGUGACAGCACUUUUUCUUUUUUCCAAAAACAUUGAUGGUUUUUUGUGGAAGUACUGUGAAUUGCUCUAAAUGCCUUCUAAAACAGUGAUACAAAUAGUAUAUUAGAUGUUAAACCAUAAGCAGAAAACUAGAUUAGAAAUAAGAUAAAAAUGAUAUAUGAAAAUUGGUUUAUACUGGAACAUAUAGAUAUGUAUACACAUUUAGCUUCAUGCUAACAAUUAUGGAAAUAGCUUGAAGAAUAUGGAGCUAUGUAUAAUGACUGCACUGCUAUUUGGCAAAAUGAAGUGGAAAAAUAGUUGCUCAGAGAACUGAAAGGAAAUAGAAAAUCGGUAGAUUAAAUAUUUCUGUUACUGCCUGCCCUGAAGUUAAUAUUGAUAAAAAUGCUGUUGAUGUGAUGUGACUAACAUAGUUACAGAUGCACAUUAGAAAUAUGUAGUUAGGUGCUGUAAGUGGUAAUAAUUUGGUUUGUACUGUUUUUCAUGAGGACUUAGUUAUUUAUACUUUAUCGUAGCAGCAUUCUGAAAGUGACUGAGUUAUAACAUGGAAGCAUGCAUAUGGUUGCAUCCACAGUUUGUCUAAUGGCUCUCCAUUAAUUUAAAUCACAACCCCGGAGUAAAUUGCCUGUGGUUUAUGCAAAACUUAAAACACUUGUAGUUUGAUAAAUCUCACGCCCUCCUUUCCCCUCUUUGCCACCACUACCACCACCACCACCACCACCACCACCCACAUUAAUAUACACCUUCUAUUUUAUUAUUUGUUGUGUAUGUCCUCCUCCUCCAACUCUUCCUCUUUCCCAUCGUUGUUGUAUCUCCUGCAAUGAAAUUUGUGACAGCAUAUUUUUUGUAAUUGCAGAAGGUCCGUGAGUGUUGGUGAAAUAUAUUUUCUGAGAAGAUACAUGGCCAAAUAAAAUUUUAAUGAUAAAUUAGCUGCAUUUAUACCACAUUGCCAGAAACUUCACUGAAAACAGGUUAUUUAAGUUUUAUUUUUCUUGUAAGAAAUAUGCAUGGUGAAUUUCCUGAUGAAAUUGAACAAUUUUGAAUAGUAAUUGGGUACCAGAUCAUUCACUAUCAAUAUGAAGUGUUGAGUGGUUGAUGGCCAUCUAAAAGGGUCAUGAAACAGUAUUCAAGUAGAAGAGAAAGUGUCAUAAAAAAGACAAGAUAGAUAAAAAUAUUGGUGAAAGGCAAAAAUAACAGUAACAAGGAAACAUCAGAAAAGUUUGGAGGCAAAAGAGUCUACAGUAUGACAGAAAUAGAAAAGGAAGAAAGUAAUACAAGAGCAGGAAAGUUACCUACCCUCCAAGCACUUUUCUUGUCACCUAGUUUGCAAGUCUGCCCCUUUUUUUCUUAGGGCGUUUCCUGCACAGCAAUUGAAAUUUCUCUGUUCCCUUCCCCCUCCUCACCCUAUGCAGUUGUGAAUGUGUACAGGCACCCUUACCAAUCCUAAAAAGAAGUUUGGAAGCAUUACUGAUCAUUCCUCCUCCUCCUCCUCCUCCUCCUCCUCCUCCCCCUUCUCUUUCUCCUCUUGGCAUGCCUGUCUGCCAUUCAGCACUUUGUCCCAAAGAUAGCUAGUGGACUGUCCUCUCAUUCACUGUUUUAAUCAUAAAAAAAGCUUUAAAAAUGACUGAAAUGGUAGAAAUAGAAAAUAUGUGGGCAAGUCAUCCAGAAGUCAUACCAUUUAAUUGUUUCAUUACAAUGAGGAAUAUAAUGAGAUGAUGCAUUCUUUAACAAUGAUUGACCAUGGGGGACUGUGUAAGUAUGUGGGAAAACAGUCCUAAAAGUUGUGAACUCUACUAUGUUCUGUAUGUUGCCUGCUCUUGUCAAGUAAUUGUGCUUGAAAUAUAAACUAAUUUUUUAAACAUCCAAAUAUUAUUUGGCUCGAAGAAGGUGGCCUAUCCAAAGGAAAGGUACACUUUCAUGUGCAGUAAUUGAUCAUGGGAUCAUAUGAAAAACGAUGUAAGUGAAGUACCGUCAUUACCUCUUGGCUGUUAUCAGAUAAUUUCAAUCUUUUGUAGUUAGAUUCUAAACUGUGAACAAUUCUGAAAGAAAGUAAGAUCUUUAGGGCAACACCUUAAGAAUUUACACAGGACAUUCUUAGCAUUUUAUGGAUAGAAAUAAACAAAAGAAUUUUUUGGCACUUCAGUUCACUUUGUGUAUAUUUUACUUCCUAUAAAAGGUUAGUUAAUAAGUAUUCUUAGCUCAGUGACAUGGAACAUUGUCAUCUAGACACUUGCUAUCAGUGGUAGGACAUACAAAUCACCAAAACGUUGAAUGUAAUGACUUCAGUAUUGAUUCAGUUUCAGCAGCAGUUUUUAACCAUAAGUGGAAUCCAUCCUGUACCACUUUGGAGAAUCAGUAUAUUGCACAGUGCAGUGGAGACAAUUUGGGAGUGCACCAUGUAUAUUGCUCAUUGGUGAAUAUACUUGAGUUUAUGAAGGGGUGCAUGAGGUGAUAUAGAAGUUUGUAAUCUAACUCUGAUAAGUGUCAUUGUGUAGACAUAAUCUUAUUAGGAGGCAUUUCAGAAAAUAUGCAAAGAUCAUGUGAAAUAACUGUUACUGCUCUGUUUAUGUAUACAGCUUUCAUGUUAUUCCAGUGGCUCUUGACUAUUAUAGUUGACUAUUAUUUCUGACUCAUGAUUUUAUACAUUUGGCUCUGUAAAGAAACUGAAGUCCAAGGCAAAAAGGUAAAUGUGUUAGACUUUUUUUUUUUGAAACUAAAAGAAAACCUCACUAUAAGAAAUGUUUUUCCAUGUCUUGUUUUUAAAGAUAUUAGCUGUCUGAAAUGAGACAGUUUCUUUGUUUCUUACAUCAAGCCACUACUCCCUCACCUUUUUCAAACUUGAUAUGUUCUCAGUGUUACAUUUUAUUCAUCUUUCUUACAUUUAUGCAUUUUGCCUGGUUCUAAGUGAAACUUACUAAACAAUUUACAGUACUAAUUUUAAAUACUGUUGAGCAAUUAGUGUAAAUAUGUAAAGAAUUAAAUACAAUACCUAUUGCUUGGGUGUUAUAUGAAAGUUAAUGCUGUCAUGUAACAUUUUACUGUAUGCUACUUCUCAUUGGAAUUGUAGUGUAUGAAAGAUGGCUUUCUUAAAAAUAUUUUGUGUCCAUCUCUAAAAUUCAUUCAAGUCUUGUAUACCAAAACACACAGAAAAUGUAUUUGUUGAACAUAAGAAACAAUUAUUUCCCAGCAGGUAUGAAUAUAGAAAUUAAAAGUGUGGUGGGAGCUUAGGUGCAGAGAGUCUCAGAGGAAAACUAAUUGGGAGUUAUUUGAAAAUCAAUAAUUUUUUUGCAAGAUGGACAAACUAUUGUUGUUCACAUAGGAAAAUGGAUCAGCUUUCUGUUUGCAUUUUCAUCUUGUAAAGGCAGUAUACUUAAAACAUUGCAAAAUCAUAACUAUUAAACUUUUAUAGUACAAUGUUAUGAUGGCAGAAGAUAAACAGCAGUUUGGAAGAAUAUUUGCCGAGUAUAACUGGAGCAAACAAUGAUCAAUAAUUUUAUUCUGUGACAAAAUUUUGAUACGAGCAGUGAAAUUGUGUUUCUUGGUUUGUCAUAAGUAUUGCCAUAGAAUACACUGGAGAGCUUGUUAUGCAGGUUAAACUUAAAGCUACAGUGGCACUAUGUCAGUUUUAGGUGGGAAGAACAAUUUUCAAGGUUUUAGUGUAUGACUUUAUUUUUGAAAGAAAACUUACCUGUUCAGCAGGAUAUCAUUGCAUUAUAAUGUCAAUAUCAAAGUAAUGUCUGACAUGUUUCUUGAAUUCAGAACAACAACAUACUCCAUAAUCUGGCAAAAACCAUCAUAGCAGUUUAUCAAAACCUCUGCCUCUCAAGGAGAACCAUAAGUUUGUAUGUAUGUAUGUAUUUAUUUAUUCACACACAAAAAAUAUUCAAUUUUGGGUCACUCCUAUAAACACACAUUUUGUGAUUGUUUAUUUGGAAUCUAUUUCAUACAUAAUUGUUGUAAGCUACAUUAUCUCUAAAACAUAUUUGAAAUAUACUCUUUGUUGUGCAUGCAGCAUGUCAUAAGUUGCGAUUUUAAAAAGUGAUUGUAUUAAUAUAUGUACAGUGAAAAACAUGUAAUAUUUGUAUCACCUUCAUUAUUGGAAAGAACAUUGUAAUGUUCUAAUAUUGAGUGCAGCAGAAACAUUCUUUCAGAGUGUAUCAUGUUACUGUAACCUCUAAAUCGUAAGAGUGGCUAAUGUCAGGAGCACCUAUACUAGAGCUAUUGGAUGUAAACUUUAUAAUACCUCUGAUUAAAUACUGUUUGUUUUGUACAUUAAAAUUUUGUCACUGAUUAA